RNAcentral lists this long non-coding RNA (384 nucleotides) under Ixodes scapularis (black-legged tick). RNAcentral's name for it is "uncharacterized LOC115322275, transcript variant X1". The record is from RNAcentral. Lineage: Eukaryota; Metazoa; Arthropoda; Arachnida; Ixodida; Ixodidae.
GGGAUAGACAGAGUAAGAGCGGACAUUGGCCCGCUGCUCACGUCGGUGAGUGCAUGCGCGAGCUGUGAAGUGUCGUCGACACCCCUCGGCGACGACGAUGAAUGAUCCUCUGGACCUGACCUCAGCCCAGCUUCGGGAAACCGUCCUCUGAUCGAGACCACCCAGGUUUUGUUCCCCCGGUGUUCGCGCACAAAGCACUGGCCAAGCGCUCGUCGGUGGCUAUACGCCCGUGCUAUCAGGCGGAAGGAGAUCGGCGGCAAAACGAACAAAGCGUUACCGCUUGUCGUGCCUUGUGGUCAUGACGACUGCUGAUCUCGCCGCAGCGCGGAAACUGCGUCGAGAGACUUCUACGCCUGCACCGUGUCGGCGUGAACUGGCUUCGCG